RNAcentral lists this ribosomal RNA (497 nucleotides) under uncultured bacterium. RNAcentral describes it as "partial 16S ribosomal RNA". It matches the Rfam family "Bacterial small subunit ribosomal RNA", at positions 28 to 507 of the family's 1533-position model. The record is from RNAcentral.
GAUGAACGCUGGCGGCGUGCCUAAUACAUGCAAGUCGAGCGAACAGACGAGGAGCUUGCUCCUCUCACGUUAGUGGCGGACGGGUGAGUCACCCGUGGAUACCCUACCUAUAAGACUGGGAUAACUUCGGGAAACCGGAGCUAGCACCGGAUCAUAUAUUGAACCGCAUGGUUCAAUAGUGCAAGCCGGUUUUGAUGUGACUUAUAGAUGGAUCCGCGCCGCAUUAGCUAGUUGGUAAGGUAACGGCUUACCAAGGCGACGAUGCGUAGCCGACCUGAGAGGGGGAUCGGCCACACUGGAACUGAGACACGGUCCAGACUCCUACGGGAGGCAGCAGUAGGGAAUCUUCCGCAAUGGGCGAAAGCCUGACGGAGCAACGCCGCGUGAGUGAUGAAGGUCUUCGGGUCGUAAAACGCUGUUGUUAGGGAAGAACAAAUGUGUAAGUAACUAUGCGCGGGUUGACGGUACCGGAUCAGAAAGCCACGGCUAACUACGUG